RNAcentral lists this microRNA precursor (57 nucleotides) under Monodelphis domestica (gray short-tailed opossum). RNAcentral's name for it is "microRNA mdo-mir-12321 precursor". The record is from miRBase by way of RNAcentral. Lineage: Eukaryota; Metazoa; Chordata; Mammalia; Didelphimorphia; Didelphidae.
GAGGGCUGGGCGGGCCGGGCUGCGUCCCAUCCUAGCCCUGCCCUCCCUUCCCCUGCU